This 791-nucleotide ribosomal RNA is filed under the name uncultured bacterium. RNAcentral's name for it is "bacterial SSU rRNA". It matches the Rfam family "Bacterial small subunit ribosomal RNA", at positions 8 to 796 of the family's 1533-position model. The record is from RNAcentral.
AGAGUUUGAUCAUGGCUCAGAUUGAACGCUGGCGGCAUGCCUUACACAUGCAAGUCGAACGGUAACAGGUCUUCGGAUGCUGACGAGUGGCGAACGGGUGAGUAAUACAUCGGAACGUGCCCAGUAAUGGGGGAUAGCUCGGCGAAAGCCGGAUUAAUACCGCAUACGCCCUGAGGGGGAAAGUGGGGGACCGCAAGGCCUCACGUUAUUGGAGCGGCCGAUGGCUGAGUAGCUAGUUGGUAGGGUAAAGGCCUACCAAGGCGACGAUCAGUAGCUGGUCUGAGAGGACGAUCAGCCACACUGGGACUGAGACACGGCCCAGACUCCUACGGGAGGCAGCAGUGGGGAAUUUUGGACAAUGGGGGAAACCCUGAUCCAGCAAUGCCGCGUGUGCGAAGAAGGCCUUCGGGUUGUAAAGCACUUUUGUCAGGGAAGAAAUCCUUUGGGCUAAUACCCUAGGGGGAUGACGGUACCUGAAGAAUAAGCACCGGCUAACUACGUGCCAGCAGCCGCGGUAAUACGUAGGGUGCAAGCGUUUAUCGGAAUUACUGGGCGUAAAGCGUGCGCAGGCGGUUGUGUAAGACAGGUGUGAAAUCCCCGGGCUUAACCUGGGAAUUGCAUUUGUGACUGCACGACUAGAGUGUGUCAGAGGGGGGUGGAAUUCCACGUGUAGCAGUGAAAUGCGUAGAUAUGUGGAGGAACACCAAUGGCGAAGGCAGCCCCCUGGGAUAACACUGACGCUCAUGCACGAAAGCGUGGGGAGCAAACAGGAUUAGAUACCCUGGUAGUCC